AAGAAGAAGAGCAAACCCAUAUAGCAUUUAACAAAAAUUAACAAAACUCAUACAAAUUAACACAACAAAUUGCCAAAUUCUAACAAUAACAAGUAGAUUUUUUAAAGAUCUAAGAAAAAGAUCCAUCAAUUUCAAAUUUCAUGUAGAAAUUACCAUAACCUCUAGAAGAUUGCAGAAACCUUUACUUGUUUAGAUCACUUUGUCGAGGAAGACUAACUGGUUGCCGUAUGGAAAUGGGCGACAAUGAUGGUCGUAUGGAGAUGGGUGAUAAUGAUGUGGCGCUCGCGGAGACGUCGAGAUUUGAGUUUUGGUGGCUGUCUAUGUUUCCGUUGAAAGAAGCUCUGCGUUUAUAAAAU
RNAcentral lists this long non-coding RNA (356 nucleotides) under Jatropha curcas. RNAcentral describes it as "long non-coding RNA (JCUR_LNC002313)". Lineage: Eukaryota; Viridiplantae; Streptophyta; Magnoliopsida; Malpighiales; Euphorbiaceae. The record is from RNAcentral.